GCGGAGGAAAAGAAACUAACGAGGAUUCCCAUAGUAACGGCGAGUGAAAAGGGAAAAGCCCAGCGCUGAAUCCAUCGAUCACUGGUCGCUUGGAAUUGUAGCGUAUAGGUGCGGCUAUCCGCUCGUUUCGUGCACCCAAAGUCCCCUUGAGCGGGGCCAUAGUCCAAAGAAGGUGCUAGACCUGUACGGGUGGCGAGGCGGUCGGUUGGUCGCUCCUUGGAGUCGGGUUGCCUGGGAUCGCAGCCCAAAGUUGGUGGUAGACCUCAUCUAAGGCUAAAUAUGGCCACGAAACCGAUAGCAAACAAGUACCGUGAGGGAAAGUUGCAAAGAACUUUGAAGAGAGAGUUCAAGAGGGCGUGAAACCGCCGAGAUUGAAACGGAUAGAGUUGACGAAACUCGAUCGCAUUCAUCCGAUCCGCCUAGCGGUUCGGCGGUUGUUGACUUCCUCGAUGAGGGCAGCGCCGUCGCUGGCUGUUGGGUGCUAGAUCGGUGUAUUUGCGGUCGGUAUGCGCUGAGAGCUUUGCGAGCGCAUGUUGACGUUGGUGUAGUGGACCACUCCCUCCGGGCGUGGAACCCUGCGCUGGUUGAGGCAUGUCGUUCGUAGGGUGUUGCUGGUGACGUCUCCGCUAUGGUGCGUCGGCUUUGUCGGACUAUUGCGGCUGCUGGGUGAUCGCAUGCGAGCGCCUGUAGUUUGCGAUGGUACGGUGAGGUGCGGACGCGCUUGGGACGUGCAUCUCGGUGUGAACGUUGACCACCUAUCCGACCCGUCUUGAAACACGGACCAAGGAGUCUAGCAUAUGCGCGAGUCAUUGGGUGGUAAACCUAAAGGCGUAAUGAAAGUAAAGGUCGUCUUGUUACGGCUGAUAUGGGAUCUGUGCGGCUUUCGAGCCAUGCAGCGCACCAUAGCCCCGUCCCGGUUGCUUGCAAUGGGGCGGAGGUAGAGCGCAUACGCUGGGACCCGAAAGAUGGUGAACUAUGCCUGAGCAGGAUGAAGCCAGAGGAAACUCUGGUGGAAGUCCGAAGCGGUUCUGACGUGCAAAUCG
RNAcentral lists this ribosomal RNA (1043 nucleotides) under Skrjabinisakis brevispiculata. Its description in RNAcentral is "eukaryotic LSU rRNA". It matches the Rfam family "Eukaryotic large subunit ribosomal RNA", at positions 50 to 900 of the family's 3401-position model. Lineage: Eukaryota; Metazoa; Nematoda; Chromadorea; Rhabditida; Anisakidae. The record is from RNAcentral.